This 68-nucleotide transfer RNA is filed under the name Locusta migratoria (migratory locust). RNAcentral's name for it is "tRNA-Cys". The record is from RNAcentral. Lineage: Eukaryota; Metazoa; Arthropoda; Insecta; Orthoptera; Acrididae. RNAcentral also lists the same sequence under 1 other name.
GGUCUUAUAUUCAAUUAUGAUUCUAGACUGCAAUUCUAGGGGUGUAAAAUAUUAUUUUACUAAGACCU